CCCUCCCCUAAAUCACUCCAAAAACAAUCCCCAAUUCUACACAAGUGUUUCUACACUAACAAAGCAACAGCUCCUUAACGAAUUCCCAACUUUACAUGAGCCUCUCUCGAGGUUAAAUGUUAUUACUUGGUAAGAUUCCGACCUCGCCAAGUGUUUUGAAAACCCGCAACGCUCGCAAAGGUGGAUAGUGAGAAUAAUAAGUGAAGAGACAGACUUGUCCAAAACGCCCACCACGAAGGUGCAUAGUGAGAAGAGUAAGUCAAGAGAUAGACUUGUCCAAAAAGAAACGGGAAGAGAAAGCUUGGGGAGACGCUCACGAAGGUGCAUAGUGAGAAGAGUAAGUCAAGAGAUAGACUUGUUCAAAAAGAAACGAGAAGAGAAUGCUUGGGGUUACACUCACGAAGGUGCAUAGUGAGAAGAGUAAGUCAAGAGACAGACUUGUUCAAAAAGAAACAAAAGAGAAUGCUUGGGAGAUAGAAGUGUGAGAUAGUUCUCAAGCUAAGAAAGUUGUAAAAGCUAAGAACUAGGUGAGUGGUCCGAGGAUUUGUCGACCAGGAGUUGAAAUCGGCGACUCGGACCGAGAAUUCGUCGACCAGAUCGGGCGGAAUGCUCGACCAGGACGAUGAAUGGGCGAUGAAAAUCUAUCGGGUUAGAGGAAUGGUCGACCAGAAGUUGGAAUCGUCGACCGGGUCCGAGGAAUUCGUCGACCAGGACGAGGAGUGGCUCGAGGAUUUGUCGAC
RNAcentral lists this unclassified non-coding RNA (740 nucleotides) under Arabidopsis thaliana (thale cress). Its description in RNAcentral is "3' external transcribed spacer". The record is from RNAcentral. Lineage: Eukaryota; Viridiplantae; Streptophyta; Magnoliopsida; Brassicales; Brassicaceae.